GCACAAGCGGUGGAGCAUGUGGUUUAAUUCGACGCAACGCGAAGAACCUUACCUAGGCUUGACAUGCUGGAGAAAGCUUGCGGAAACGUGAGCCCCUCUUCGGAGUUCCAGCACAGAUGCUGCAUGGCUGUCGUCAGCUCGUGUCGUGAGAUGUUGGGUUAAGUCCCGUAACGAGCGCAACCCUCACUCUUAGUUACCAGCGGGUAAAGCCGGGGACUCUAGGGGGACUGCCGGUGCCAAACCGGAGGAAGGUGGGGGAUGACGUCAAGUCAUCAUGGCUCUUACGUCUAGGGCUACACACGUGCUACAAUGGGCCGGACAGAGGGUCGCCAACUCGCGAGAGUGAGUCAAUCCCCAAACCGGUCCUCAGUUCGGAUUGUAGUCUGCAACUCGACUACAUGAAGCUGGAAUCGCUAGUAAUCGUGGAUCAGCUACGCCACGGUGAAUACGUUCCCGGGCCUU
RNAcentral lists this ribosomal RNA (462 nucleotides) under uncultured Gemmatimonadaceae bacterium. RNAcentral's name for it is "bacterial SSU rRNA". It matches the Rfam family "Bacterial small subunit ribosomal RNA", at positions 923 to 1382 of the family's 1533-position model. The record is from RNAcentral. Lineage: Bacteria; Pseudomonadati; Gemmatimonadota; Gemmatimonadia; Gemmatimonadales; Gemmatimonadaceae.